GCCAGGCACAGUGGUGCACACGUGUAAUCCCAGCUACUCCAGAGGCUGCAGCAGGAGGAUCCAGGAGUUCUGGGCGAUGGUGCACUAUGCUGAUUGGAUGUCCACACUCAGUUUGACAUCAGUAUGGUGGCCUCCCGGGAGCUGGGGACCACUGGGUUACCUAGGACAGGUGAACUGGCUCAGGUAAAAAAUGGAGCAGGUCAAAACUCCUGUGCUGAUCAGUAGUGGGAUUGUGCCUAUGAAUAGCUACUGCACUCCAGCCUGGGCAACAGAGUGAGAUU
Unclassified non-coding RNA from Papio anubis (olive baboon), 281 nucleotides. It matches the Rfam family "Metazoan signal recognition particle RNA". From Rfam's summary of the family: The signal recognition particle (SRP) is a universally conserved ribonucleoprotein. Lineage: Eukaryota; Metazoa; Chordata; Mammalia; Primates; Cercopithecidae. The record is from Ensembl.